AUACGGAGGGUGCAAGCGUUACUCGGAAUCACUGGGCGUAAAGCGCGCGCAGGCGGUCUUUUAAGUUGGAUGUGAAAGCCUACGGCUCAACCGUAGAACUGCAUCCAAAACUAUUAGACUAGAGUGUGGGAGAGGAAGAUGGAAUUAGUUGUGUAGGGGUAAAAUCCGUAGAGAUAACUAGGAAUACCAAAAGCGAAGGCAAUUUUCUGGAACACUACUGACGCUGAGGCGCGAAAGCGUGGGGAGCAAACAGGAUUAGAAACCCUAGUAGUCC
This 274-nucleotide ribosomal RNA is filed under the name uncultured bacterium. Its description in RNAcentral is "partial 16S ribosomal RNA". It matches the Rfam family "Bacterial small subunit ribosomal RNA", at positions 523 to 796 of the family's 1533-position model. The record is from RNAcentral.